GAGGUAUUAGGUUAAGUUAAACUUAUAGUUUGUCGGACUAUAGAUCUUAUUAAUUAAGAUAGCUCG
This 66-nucleotide transfer RNA is filed under the name Branchiostoma belcheri (Belcher's lancelet). RNAcentral's name for it is "tRNA-Asp". Lineage: Eukaryota; Metazoa; Chordata; Leptocardii; Amphioxiformes; Branchiostomatidae. The record is from RNAcentral.